UACAGAGGUCUCAAGCGUUGUUCGGAUUCAUUGGGCGUAAAGGGUGCGUAGGUGGCGGGGUAAGUCAGGUGUGAAAUUUCGGAGCUUAACUCCGAAACUGCAUUUGAUACUGCCUUGCUUGAGGACUGGAGAGGAGAUUGGAAUUCACGGUGUAGCAGUGAAAUGCGUAGAUAUCGUGAGGAAGACCAGUGGCGAAGGCGGUCUCGUGGACAGUUCCUGACACUGAGGCACGAAGGCCAGGGGGGAGCAAACGGG
RNAcentral lists this ribosomal RNA (255 nucleotides) under uncultured bacterium. RNAcentral describes it as "partial 16S ribosomal RNA". It matches the Rfam family "Bacterial small subunit ribosomal RNA", at positions 524 to 776 of the family's 1533-position model. The record is from RNAcentral.